AGGAAAAAUUUUUAAACACGUCGCUAUGAUUUCAUAUUUUCUGAUUUUCGUACCUGUGGUUUUAUUUUAUUUUUUUUGUUAUCUCAUCCACUAAUUUUUUCGUUAAGUCAGAUAUGAAGUUUUUUCGUAUAUGAUUUAACGAAAAGUGAUAUACUUUAAAUUAUAAAAUACUAAGGUAAAAAAAUACGAAACCACAUGGGUGGUAUUUGAAGUUUACUCUAAGGGCAUGUUUGGUUCACCUAUUUUAGACUAUGGAAUCGGAAUGGAAUUCAUUGAUUCCGAUUGUUGCCGUUUGUUUUAUAGGAAUCGGAUUCCGAUUUCCAUUCCACUCCGGAAUGAGAAUGGCCAAAUCCAUUUAUGAUCCAAUCCGGCUUUGAAUCCCGGAUUGGUUCAUUCCAAAAUAAACUAUUCAAAAUUCUUUUUCAUCAACACCUACCUCCUCAUCCUUCAUCACUUUCCUCUCUCUUAAUCAAAACCCUUUCUAAAAAAUUUUAAAUUUUCAUUCCGAUUUCCAUUCCAAUAAUGAAUCAAACAUUUUUGGAUGAUUCGUCAUUCCAUUUCCCAUUCCAAAGNUAU
This 576-nucleotide long non-coding RNA is filed under the name Ananas comosus (pineapple). RNAcentral describes it as "long non-coding RNA (ACOM_LNC011451)". The record is from RNAcentral. Lineage: Eukaryota; Viridiplantae; Streptophyta; Magnoliopsida; Poales; Bromeliaceae.